CCUACGGGUGGCAGCAGUCGAGAAUCAUUCACAAUGGGGGAAACCCUGAUGGUGCGACGCCGCGUGGGGGAAUGAAGGUCUUCGGAUUGUAAACCCCUGUCAUGUGGGAGCAAAUUAAAAAGAUAGUACCACAAGAGGAAGAGACGGCUAACUCUGUGCCAGCAGCCGCGGUAAUACAGAGGUCUCAAGCGUUGUUCGGAAUCACUGGGCGUAAAGCGUGCGUAGGCUGUUUCGUAAGUCGUGUGUGAAAGUCGCGGACUCAACCCGCGGACGGCACAUGAUACUGCGAGACUAGAGUAAUGGAGGGGGAACCGGAAUUCUCGGUGUAGCAGUGAAAUGCGUAGAUAUCGAGAGGAACACUCGUGGCGAAGGCGGGUUCCUGGACAUUAACUGACGCUGAGGCACGAAGGCCAGGGGAGCGAAAGGGAUUAGAUACCCUGGUAGUC
This 446-nucleotide ribosomal RNA is filed under the name uncultured bacterium. RNAcentral describes it as "partial 16S ribosomal RNA". It matches the Rfam family "Bacterial small subunit ribosomal RNA", at positions 338 to 795 of the family's 1533-position model. The record is from RNAcentral.